AUGAAGCUGAGUAUCUUUUUCCCAGACAUUGGCUGCCAGAAACUCAUCGAAGAGAAAGAUGAACGCAAGCUCUGUACCUUCUAUGAGAAGCAUAUGGCCACAGAAGUUGCUGCGGACACUCUGGCUGAAGAGUGGAAGGGUUACGUGGCCCAAAUCAGUGGUGGGAAUGAUAAACAAGGCUUCCCCAUGAAGCAAGGUGUCUUGACCUCUGGCCGUGUCUAACAGCUGCUGAGUAAGGGGCAUUCCUGUACAGACCAAAGAUAACUAGAGAAAGCACAAGUCUGUUCAGGGUUGCAUUGUGGACUCCACUCUAAGUGUUCUCAACUUGGUUAUUGUACAGAAGGUGAGAAGAAUAUUCCGGGAUUGACUUAUGCUACGAUGCCUCUUUGACUGGGGCCCAAAAGGGUUAGCAGAAUCCUCAAACACUUCAACUUAUCUAAAGAAGAUGAUGUCUGCCAGUAAUGUUGUAAGAAAGCCCUUAAACAAAGAAGGUAAGAAACGUAAAACCAAAGCACCCAAGAUCCAGUAUCUCCUCACUCCAUGUGUCCUGCAACAUAGACACCAGUGUAUUGCUCUGAAGAAACAGCAUACUAAGAAAAAUAAGGAAGAAGCCGCAGAAUAUGCUAAACUUUUCGCCAAGAGAAUGAAGGAGGCCAAAGAAAAACACCAGGAACAGAUUGCCAAGAGACGCAGACUUUUCUCUCUGCAAGCUUCUACUUCCAAGUCUGAGUCUAGUCAAAAAUAAGAUUUUUUGAGUAACAAAUAAAUAAGAUCAGACCCUCCAAAAA
Molecule: RNA transcript, 788 nt
Organism: Carlito syrichta (Philippine tarsier)
Lineage: Eukaryota; Metazoa; Chordata; Mammalia; Primates; Tarsiidae
Gene name: 40S ribosomal protein S6 pseudogene
Exons: 1
Source: RefSeq, a predicted model, not a curated record